This 211-nucleotide ribosomal RNA is filed under the name uncultured cyanobacterium. RNAcentral describes it as "partial 23S ribosomal RNA". It matches the Rfam family "Bacterial large subunit ribosomal RNA", at positions 1 to 225 of the family's 2925-position model. The record is from RNAcentral. Lineage: Bacteria; Bacillati; Cyanobacteriota.
GGUCAAGCUACAAAGGGCUCACGGAGGAUACCUAGGCACACAGAGGCGAUGAAGGACGUGGUUACCUGCGAUAAGUCUCGGGGAGUUGGAAGCACACUUUGAUCCGGGAAUUUCCGAAUGGGGCAACCCCUUGAACGACCAACUGAAUAUAUAGGAUGGUGCGAGCUAACCCAGCGAACUGAAACAUCUUAGUAGCGGGAGGAAAGGGAAA